GAUGAACGCUAGCUACAGGCUUAACACAUGCAAGUCGAGGGGUAACGAGAGGAAAGCUUGCUUUCCUUGUCGACGACCGGCGCACGGGUGAGUAACGCGCAUCCAACCUGCCCCCAACUAGGGAAUAACCUUGCGAAAGUAAGACUAAUACCCUAUAAUUUCCUCAGAUGACAUCUGACGAGGAAUAAAGAUUUAUCGGUUGUGGAUGGGGAUGCGUCUGAUUAGCUUGUUGGCGGGGUAACGGCCCACCAAGGCAACGAUCAGUGGGGGUUCUGAGAGGAAGGUCCCCCACAUUGGAACUGAGACACGGUCCAAACUCCUACGGGAGGCAGCAGUGAGGAAUAUUGGUCAAUGGGCGGAAGCCUGAACCAGCCAAGUAGCGUGCAGGAUGACGGCCCUAUGGGUUGUAAACUGCUUUUAUACAGGAAUAAAGUUAGCCACGUGUGGUUAUUUGUAGGUACUGUAUGAAUAAGGACCGGCUAAUUCCGUGCCAGCCGCCGCGGUAA
This 506-nucleotide ribosomal RNA is filed under the name uncultured bacterium. RNAcentral describes it as "partial 16S ribosomal RNA". It matches the Rfam family "Bacterial small subunit ribosomal RNA", at positions 28 to 523 of the family's 1533-position model. The record is from RNAcentral.